UCUGCGAUAUCUGAAUGCAAAUGCACAGUUAAUAAAAUAUUAAGGACAAACAUUCAAGGCCAAAAAGCAAACAAACAAGUCCAAACAAAGCCAUGUCAAGACACCACUGCGAAAUAUUUAACCCUUCGAAAAUAUUCACUUUAGAAAAAAAAACCGGUUUUAAAAAAAUACAGGUAAAUCUUGAAGUUUAUACAAAUGUAGUAAGAAGAAGUGAUAUUCCAAAUAAUCAAAGCUGGUACAUAGAAAAGAUCCAUAUAAAUAUAAAAUAACAAAAAAGCAUUAUCAACAUUAUCAACAGGUCGAAUUAAAAAUACGAUUUGAGAGUACUCGCAGUUACUGACAGCUGGUUAAAAGCCAAAAACAAUUAAUAAUAAAAAAAUCAUGCAUCAGAG
Molecule: long non-coding RNA, 392 nt
Filed under: Mytilus galloprovincialis (Mediterranean mussel)
Lineage: Eukaryota; Metazoa; Mollusca; Bivalvia; Mytilida; Mytilidae
Source: RNAcentral